CUUGACAACCUACUUGGAUAACUGUGGUAAUUCUAGAGCUAAUACAUGCACCAAAGCUCCGAUCCUCGCGGAGAGGAGCGCAUUUGUUCGCCACAAAACCAAGCGCCCAUCUGGGCGUCCAGUGCUGAACCAGAACAACUCAGCUGAUCGCACGGUCUUGUACCGGCGACGUGUCUUUCAAGUGUCUGCCUUAUCAACUUUCGAUGGUAGUGUACCUGACUACCAUGGUUGUGACGGGUAACGGAGGAUAAGGGUUCGACUCCGGAGAAGGGGCCUGAGAAAUGGCCACUACGUCUAAGGAUGGCAGCAGGCGCGCAAAUUACCCACUCUCAACGCGAGGAGGUAGUGACGAGAAAUAACGAGACCGUUCUCAUACGAGGCCGGUUAUUGGAAUGGGUACAAUUUAAA
RNAcentral lists this ribosomal RNA (408 nucleotides) under unidentified nematode Sourhope farm. RNAcentral's name for it is "SSU rRNA". It matches the Rfam family "Eukaryotic small subunit ribosomal RNA", at positions 125 to 529 of the family's 1831-position model. The record is from RNAcentral. Lineage: Eukaryota; Metazoa; Nematoda.